RNAcentral lists this ribosomal RNA (466 nucleotides) under uncultured bacterium. Its description in RNAcentral is "partial 16S ribosomal RNA". It matches the Rfam family "Bacterial small subunit ribosomal RNA", at positions 28 to 507 of the family's 1533-position model. The record is from RNAcentral.
GAUGAACGCUGGCGGCGUGCUUAACACAUGCAAGUCGAACGGAAAGGCCCAAGCUUGCUUGGGUACUCGAGUGGCGAACGGGUGAGUAACACGUGGGUGAUCUGCCCUGCACUUCGGGAUAAGCCUGGGAAACUGGGUCUAAUACCGGAUAGGACCACAUUUUGGAUGGUGUGGUGGAAAGUUUUUCGGUGUGGGAUGAGCUCGCGGCCUAUCAGCUUGUUGGUGGGGUAAUGGCCUACCAAGGCGUCGACGGGUAGCCGGCCUGAGAGGGUGUACGGCCACAUUGGGACUGAGAUACGGCCCAGACUCCUACGGGAGGCAACAGUGGGGAAUAUUGCACAAUGGGCGCAAGCCUGAUGCAGCGACGUCGCGUGGGGGAUGACGGCCUUCGGGUUGUAAACUCCUUUCGCUAGGGACGAAGCGUUAUGUGACGGUACCUGGAGAAGAAGCACCGGCUAACUACGUG